Molecule: ribosomal RNA, 426 nt
Filed under: uncultured eukaryote
Lineage: Eukaryota
Description: bacterial SSU rRNA
Rfam family: Eukaryotic small subunit ribosomal RNA
Source: RNAcentral
CAAUAGCGUAUAUUAUAGUUGUUGCAGUUAAAAAAGCUCGUAGUUGGACUUCUGAUGUGGGGAUUCGGUCCACCGCAAGGUGAGCACUGAUGUCCUUGCGUCUUCCUCUCGUAGUUGUUUGGCGCACUUAGUUGGGUGCCAGAUGAAUAUGGGACCUUUACUUUGAAAAAAUUAGAGUGUUCAAAGCAGGCGAUCGCUUGAAUACAUUAGCAUGGAAUAAUAGAAUAGGACUUUGGUUCUAUUUUGUUGGUUGUUCGAGAACCGAAGUAAUGAUUGAUAGGGACAGUUGGGGGCGAUCAGUAUUCUGAAGCGAGAGGUGAAAUUCUUGGACCUUCGAGACUAACAACUAGCGAAGACAUUGUCCUACGGAUGUUCUCUUUAAUUCAAGAACGAAAGUUAGGGGGAGUCGAAGACGAUUAGAUACCA